UAAGGAAUAUUGGUCAAUGCCCGCAAGGGUGAACCAGCCAUCCCGCGUGCAGGAAGAAGGGGCUCUGCCUUGUAAACUGCUUUUGCAUGGGACGAAAAAAGGGGAUUUAUCCUCGACUGACGGUACCAUGAGAAUAAGCACCGGCUAACUCCGUGCCAGCAGCCGCGGUAAUACGGAGGGUGCGAGCGUUAUCCGGAAUCACUGGGUUUAAAGGGUGCGUAGGCGGUUAUAUAAGUCAGUGGUGAAAGGC
This 250-nucleotide ribosomal RNA is filed under the name uncultured bacterium. Its description in RNAcentral is "partial 16S ribosomal RNA". It matches the Rfam family "Bacterial small subunit ribosomal RNA", at positions 355 to 602 of the family's 1533-position model. The record is from RNAcentral.